This 3772-nucleotide long non-coding RNA is filed under the name Zostera marina. RNAcentral describes it as "long non-coding RNA (ZMAR_LNC001771)". Lineage: Eukaryota; Viridiplantae; Streptophyta; Magnoliopsida; Alismatales; Zosteraceae. The record is from RNAcentral.
UUUUUUUGCACUGUCCUGCUACUUUAUCGUUAACUUCUGCUAAAAUAAAUCAAUCACUUAUUCGUUCUACUUUCUCUUACUUUUUGUCAACACAAUCUUUUUUCUCUCUCUAAAUCGUCCUUACCAACAACCAUACUGUCCUUCCAUCUGUCUUUACUUGGUAUUGCCACCUUGUCUCAAUCUCCCACACCUUCUUUUUCCUCAACGUUUUUUUUUCAUUCCACCUCACUGUUCAUCAUCUUCCUUCUUUAGCUCUUCCCAUCUUGGAACCAAUCUUCAUAUUUUCGCUGGGAUGGUCUUCCGAAUUGAAGGUUUGUGUUCUUUUAUUUUUUUUUUGCUUUUUAAUUCUUACAUCAAAUGCCUAACGUUUUUUCCCAUAGCAUAUAAUGUCUUCUCCACCACCAUUUGUGAAUCAAGAUCCAUCUCCCAUUCUGCAAGUUUCCCCCAACACGAAUUCGUUAUAUUUGUUACACCUCCUCCAUAUCGUUCACAUCAGUUUACAUAUAAUCAUUCCAACACAACAUGCAACGUUAAUUUGAAUUUUCAUUUCAAUUCCCCUCAAUGUCAAGCAAAUAUUAAUCUUACAGCUUGUAAUGUCGAAUUUUCGACGUCCUUGGAGCCUGAUACUCAAGGAAUUCAUAAAUUUGAUUCAGAUUUCGUCCAAUGCACCUCUGCUGAUAUUAGAGAUACUUCCACUAAUAUAAGUUGUGGAACUGCUAAAAAACCCGAAAAGUAUUCUGAAUUUAAUUAUUCAUCUCCUGGUCAAUAUCAGAUUGUGUUGUAUAGUUCUUCUAUUAUGUGUUACGCUACUAUGUAGUCUCUACUUCUACUAAUAUCAGUACUUAGACCAACAUCUAUUUUACCCGUUCCUAUAGUAUGUCGUAUAGUUAUGUUAUUACGUGUUUACGCUACUGUGUAGUGUGCUUCUGCUAAUAUCAGUACUUAGACCGACAUCUAUUCUACUCGUUCCUAUAGUAUGUCGUAUAGUUAUGCUAUUAUGUGUUUACGCUACUAUAUAGUGUUCUUCUGUUAAUAUCAGUAUUUAGAACGACAUUUAUUAAUUCUACCCGUUCUUAUAGUAUGUCAUAUAGUUCUGCUAUUAUGUGUUUACGCUAAUGUGUAAUGUCAUUCUGCUAAUAUCAGUACUUAGACCGACAUCCAUUCUCUCCAUUAAGCUACUAUGUUGUUUACUUCUGUUAUUAUGUUUUUACGCUACUAUAUAGUGUGCUUCUGCUAAUAUUAGUAAUUAGACGAAUAUCUAUUCUACUCAUUAUGCUACUAUGUUGUUAUUUUUGCUAUUAUAUUUUUACGUCACUGUCUAGUGUACUUCUGCUAAUAUCAAUGCUUCGACGAACAUCUCUUUUACCCAUUACGCUAUUAUGUUGUCUACCUCUGCUAUUAUAUUUUACGCUAGUAUAUAUUAUGCUUCUGCUAAUAUUAGUACUUAGACCAACAUCUAUUCUAUCCAUUUACGCUACUAUGUUGUCUACCUCUACUAUUAUGUUUUACACUACUAUCUAUUGUACUUCAUCUAAUAUUAGUACUUAGACGAACAUCUAUUCUACCCCUUAUGCUAUCAUGUUGUUUACUUCUGUUAUUAUAUUUUUACGCUACUGUAUAGUGUGUUUCUGCUAAUAUUAGUACUUAGACGAAUAUCUAUUCUACCCAUUACGCUACUACAUUAUCUACAUCUGCUAUUAUGAUUUACGCUACUGUCUAGUGUGCUUCUGCUAAUAUUAAUACUUCGACGAACAUCUCUUUUACCCAUUACGAUAUUAUGUUGUCUACCCCUACUAUUAUGUUUUAGCUAGUAUAUAUUGUGCUUCUGACAUAUAAAAGAUGGGUUCUUACCUGAUACAUAUUGUAAUUACUCUUUUCGAUUAAUCAAACCUUAAUUAUCUGCUAGACCUAUCCCAGAGAAGGAUCCUGACACUGUUGGAAAAUUCUGCUCUUUGGCACUUAUAGACAAAUCUUUUUUCAAGUGAUGUGCUGUCUCAGAAUCUCGAGAUCGAAUCUGGGUAUUCUAGAGAUGGACCGAUAGAAUCACUGAAAGCGAAAAAAGACGAAAACCCCCAUACUUUUUUUUUUAACGGGACGAAGAGACGAAUCCAACCGUGGCGAUAGAUUCUUGUCCCGGUCUAAGAGUUGGGUUGUGGGUAGUCUUAUUCAGCCAAAGCAAUGAAUGUAGACGAAGACCAAAUCGGCGAUUUGGCUAAGCGAAAUUCAGAAAUCGGCGAGUCCUUACGUUAAGUCGGUAAUUUCCUUAUGAAAUUCAACCAGAGCUUAACCAAGAAGAAUCGGCGAUUUUAACUGAAAAUCGACGAUUUUUAUGAGAAGCCGACAAUUUCCUUAGAAUUCCAACCGGGUUUGCUCAAAGAAAAAUCGGCGAUUCAGAAAAAUUCAACCUAAGCGAAGGUGAAAGUUUCAACGAGCGAAGAAACUAGCAAAAAUCGGCGAUUUAAGGUGAAAUCGACGAUUUUAUACUCUGGGGGUUUUUUGUAGAGCUUCAUGGACAGCACUCUUAGAGGGCAGACGAUUCCCAAAUCGAUGAUUCUAGGGGUGAAGUCGGUGAUUUCGGACAAGAAUCAGUGAUUUUUUCAGUUGACAGAGUCAGCGAUCUCUUGGAAAGAGUUCAAGCCAGACUUAGGCAAAGAAAAAUCGGCGAUUAGGACGGGGAUAUCGGUGGUUCGAUGGUCCCACAAACGGCGUCAGCUGAUGAAGCACGGGAAAUGCUACCAGGGGCUCGCGGUGGUGCGAGGUGAUGCCAGAGGCUCUGGAGUCUACGACGCGUGCUCUACGUCAAAUCCUGGAGGAGGAGAAUGGGCGAUUCUGGUGUGGGAAUUGGCGAUUCUCUCUAUGUAUGCUCUAGUUAUGUGGAACUUGUUAUCUGCCUUGGAGUGUCCCCUUGGGACCCCUUUUAUAGGGUCGUCUUUGGGGGCGCCCUCCGCCGCAGGCAUCACGCCUGGGUCAUAAUGACGCGCAUUAAUGGGCCAUUAUCACACGGGCUGGCGACGAGUAACGGUCGUAAAUCGGCGAUUCAGGUAGGGAAUCAGCGAAUUAGGGGCAAAGUCGGCGAGCUCUAAGGGACGGGAUCUGCAGCCCACCAAUGCUGAUUAUCUUGGCCUCAACUCGGCGAUUUACCACUAAUACCGGCGAUUUGGUAGCCCAAUCGACAAUCUUACGGGAAACUCGGCGAUUUGACGAUGAUCUUUGUUCCGCAAUCGUGGGAGCCUUCCGAGGGUCCGGCAUAAAGCGAAUGGAACCCUAGUCCUUGUUGAGGGGCGUUGCUGAAAGUGACUGACGUAAUCAGGCAUGUAUCAGGGAUAAGGUAAAUAACCUUCUAGGUGAGUCGAAUUUGAAACGGCAUAAUUAGUGAAAGCAGUUAAGCUUUCACCGUAUUUUUUCAAAAACCGAUCUAAACUCAUCCAUGCUUUAUCGGGUACUUUUAUUAUGUUUGAUAUUAUCCUAAAAAAUUAAAUUUUUAUCAAAUAAUUAACUAGAUAAAAUUUAAUUGACUAUUACAAUAUAGUUCAAUUAAUAUGAAGUUCAUUUUCGGAUAAUCUAGCUAGGGUGUAAUUAUUAACUAAUCCGAAUCGGUUUCAUAAAUAACUUUCUUCGGAGUUGCUGGUUGCAGAACGGGAGGGGCCGGUGCUGGACGAGCAGGUGUCGGCGGUGCGGGAGGGGCCGGUGCUGGACGAACAAGUGCCUGUGCUGGACGUACAGGUGUCGGUGUAGAAUGAACCGGGAGAUAAAACCGGAAAGCAUAUUGAGG